GACGAACCGAGCGAACGUUGUUCGGAAUUACUGGGCGUAAAGGGCUCGUAGGCGGCCAACUAAGUCAGACGUGAAAUCCCUCGGCUUAACCGGGGAACUGCAUCUGAUACUGGAUGGCCUGAGUUCGGGAGAGGGAUGCGGAAUUCCAGGUGUAGCGGUGAAAUGCGUAGAUAUCUGGAGGAACACCGGUGGCGAAGGCGGCAUCCUGGACCGACACUGACGCUGAGGAGCGAAAGCCAGGGGAGCAAACGGG
This 253-nucleotide ribosomal RNA is filed under the name uncultured bacterium. Its description in RNAcentral is "partial 16S ribosomal RNA". It matches the Rfam family "Bacterial small subunit ribosomal RNA", at positions 524 to 776 of the family's 1533-position model. The record is from RNAcentral.